RNAcentral lists this long non-coding RNA (692 nucleotides) under Homo sapiens (human). RNAcentral's name for it is "HSALNT0284261". Lineage: Eukaryota; Metazoa; Chordata; Mammalia; Primates; Hominidae. The record is from RNAcentral.
GGGGACCUGGAAGGAUUGCCGUUGCUGGCUUGGGUGGCUAGGGCUUAUAUCCCUGUGUUAACCCCUCUCCUUUCUUUCUUUUUGUCCAUUGAGAGUGGUUCUUUUUUCAGUCCUCCCUUGGAGUGGUUAAUUUUGAAUCCUUCACUCCAUUGGUUAAGAACUCAAAACCCUGAGUCACAGGGGUCUUUUGUGAAAGUCCCCGAACCAGCCCAGGAAGUCCCACCAACUCCACCCCUCAAUGCCAAUCUACUGAGCAAGAGAUGAAUACAUAAUUGACUAGUCCCCUACCUGCUUCUUUUGCCUUGUAACAUGUGGAUUACCAUACCCUCCUUUUUUUUUAAACUCCAGCCAAAUUUUUCUGGUUAAAUAUCAAAGCCUUCCAAAAUCAUCUUUGGAGAAAGACACAGACCAUUUUUGUGAUUCCAUGUUUUUUUUUUUUUCUUCUGGGCAUGUCCUUAAACCUGGCAAAAUAAAUCUUUAAACUGGAUUGAGACCUGUCUCUGUUACCUUUUGGUUUACAAUGGAGCUAAUAUUGAGCCACAUAUAUUACGUAUAUGUGGCUUUCCAAAGGAGUUGCUGGAAACCGAAGCUGAGGUAACAGCAGGGGCUCAUUGAAGCCCCACCAAGUUCGAGCUUCUCCUCAGGUGGAACUGAAUAAAUAAUUCGACCAAGAAGACAUAAGGCAGAAGGAG